GAUGAACGCUGGCGGCGUGCCUAAUACAUGCAAGUCGAGCGAACGGACGCGAAGCUUGCUUCUCUGAUGUUAGCGGCGGACGGGUGAGUCACACGUGGAUAACCUACCUAUAAGACUGAGAUCACUUCGGGAAACCGUAGCUAAUACCGGAUAAUAUUUUGAACCGCAUGGUUCAAAAGUGAAAGACGGUCUUGCUGUCACUUAUCGAUGGAUCCGCGCUGCAUUAGCUAGUUGUUAAGGUAACGGCUUACCAAGGCAACGAUGCAUAGCCGACCUGAGAGGGGGAUCGGCCGCACUGGAACUGAGACACGGUCCAGACUCCUACGGGAGGCAGCAGUAGGGAAUCUUACGCAAUGGGCGAAAGCCUGACGGAGCAACGCCACGUGAGUGAUGAAGGUCUUCGGAUCGUAAAACUCUGUUAUUAGGGAAGAACAUAUGUGUAAGUAACUGUGCACAGCGUGACGGUACCGAAUCAGAAAGCCACGGCUAACUACGUG
RNAcentral lists this ribosomal RNA (497 nucleotides) under uncultured bacterium. RNAcentral describes it as "partial 16S ribosomal RNA". It matches the Rfam family "Bacterial small subunit ribosomal RNA", at positions 28 to 507 of the family's 1533-position model. The record is from RNAcentral.